CCUACGGGAGGCUGCAGUGGGGAAUAUUGCACAAUGGGGGAAACCCUGAUGCAGCCACGCCGCGUGAGUGAAGAAGUAUUUCGGUAUGUAAAGCUCUAUCAGCAGGGAAGAAGGAGGACAGUACCUGAAUCAGACGCCCCGGCUAACUACGUAGCAGCAGCCGCGGUAAUACGUAGGGGGCAAGCGUUAUCCGGAUUUACUGGGUGUAAAGGGAUCGUAGACGGCUGUGCAAGUCUGAAGUGAAGGCCCCUGGCUCAACCGCGGAACUGCUUUGGAAACUGUAUAGCUUGAGUACUGGAGAGGCAGGUGGAAUUCCUAGUGUAGCGGUGAAAUGCGUAGAGAUUAGGAGGAAUACCAGUGGCGAAGGCGGCCUGCUGGACAGAAACUGACGCUGAGGUGCGAAAGCGUGGGGAGCAAACAGGAUUAGAUACCCUUGUAGAC
This 441-nucleotide ribosomal RNA is filed under the name uncultured bacterium. RNAcentral's name for it is "partial 16S ribosomal RNA". It matches the Rfam family "Bacterial small subunit ribosomal RNA", at positions 338 to 795 of the family's 1533-position model. The record is from RNAcentral.